This 125-nucleotide small RNA is filed under the name Marmota monax (woodchuck). Lineage: Eukaryota; Metazoa; Chordata; Mammalia; Rodentia; Sciuridae. The record is from RNAcentral.
GCCGGGCGUGGUGGCACACGCCUGUAAUCUCAGUGGUUCAGGAGGCUGAGGCAGGAGAAUUGUGAGUUCAAAGCCAGCCUCAGCAAAAGCAAGGUGCUAAGCAACUCAGUGAGACCCUGUCUCUA